GUGGGGAAUUUUGGACAAUGGGCGAAAGCCUGAUCCAGCCAUGCCGCGUGCAGGAUGAAGGCCUUCGGGUUGUAAACUGCUUUUGUACGGAACGAAAAGACUCCUUCUAAUAAAGGGGGUCCAUGACGGUACCGUAAGAAUAAGCACCGGCUAACUACGUGCCAGCAGCCGCGGUAAUACGUAGGGUGCAAGCGUUAAUCGGAAUUACUGGGCGUAAAGCGUGCGCAGGCGGUUAUAUAAGACAGAAGUGAAAUCCCCGGGCUCAACCUGGGAAAUGCAUUUGUGACUGUAUAGCUAGAGUACGGUAGAGGGGGAUGGAAUUCCGCGUGUAGCAGUGAAAUGCGUAGAUAUGCGGAGGAACACCGAUGGCGAAGGCAAUCCCCUGGACCUGUACUGACGCUCAUGCACGAAAGCGUGGGGAGCAAACAGGAUUAGAUACCCCGGUAGUCC
RNAcentral lists this ribosomal RNA (450 nucleotides) under uncultured bacterium. RNAcentral's name for it is "partial 16S ribosomal RNA". It matches the Rfam family "Bacterial small subunit ribosomal RNA", at positions 354 to 796 of the family's 1533-position model. The record is from RNAcentral.